UACGAGACGGGUGGACCCCAGAGCGGAGGCAAAACACAGAGCACUGAGGUGGUGCGUUCAUCGACGUUUAUUUAACGUGGGACAAGGUGGAUAGACUGGGUGCUGAUGGCUCCGGGAGUUCUUCAGUGCAGAGGAGAAGCAGGUGAGCAGGGUGACGGGGUAGUUGGAGGACAGGAGAACAGACACGAGGAUUAACGGGGAGAAUAACCACAGGAGGAUCUGACUAUGAGCCGAGAACGAGAAACUACCACUGUAGUGACAAGGACGAACUGGCGAUGACUCCGCGCUCAGCCAGGGCAGAUGUAGUGAGCAGUUGAUGAGUGCAGGUGCGCCUGGUGAGCCAGGUCAUCUAGCGAGACGAGCUGCACCUGCGGGAAAAGGAGAGGAGAGAGGAGGAGGGGCACUGGAGGCACAGAGAACUGUGACAUAUAUAAGGCAUCGUGGCAAGAGCUGAUGCAGACAAACAGAAAUAAUCCAAAGAUGAAGACCUCGAUGGUUGUGUUGGGUUUAUCCCUCUUCACCUUGUGUGUGGCUGAGGUCCUGCAUCUGGAUCAACAGGAGAAAGACACCAACACUUCUUGUCACUGCGAGAGCCUGAGUUCGGAUGACAAUUCUCUUAAAGCCUUGAAAGAGAGAGGUUCUGAGGAGGGAGCUCCAAGCCUCUCAAGGUAACAAGGUGGCAUUUGGAGCAGCCAUGGGCAAUGUUGGAAAUAUUGGACCUUACAACAGUGAGAUCACACUGACCUACAAGACCGUCCUCUCAAACACGGGCUCAUACAAUCCUGCUACAGGUAUUUUCACUGCUCCAGUCAAAGGAAUGUAUUACUUCAGCUUCUCUGGUCAUAAUAUAUCAAGUAAGCCAAUGGGGCUGCGCCUCAUGAAGAAUGGAGUGCAGAUCACUACCGUGUACAAUCAUGCAUCUGGAAAUCGCCAUGAAACGGCAACUAACAGCAUGACUAUACCUCUUAAUGUGGGAGACCAGGUGUACAUGACACUCCGUGUGAAUACGUGGAUUUUUGAUAAUCUUAAUUACCACAGCACCUUCAAUGGAUUUCUGUUAUUCCCUUUCUGAGAAAAAUAAACUCCAGAGAGAGAAGAGAGAGUCAGUGAGGUGCAGUACAUUGUUACUUCAAUUGGGGUGUUGCCUAAGGAAUUAAAGUGUUAAUGAAAACACUGUGUAAUAAUUAAUCAAGUUAAACGGGAUCCUGAUCAAAACUUGUUAAUUGAAAGUUUUAUAUUGAUUGAUAUUAUGGUUCUUUUUGUGUUUUGAUUCUUUUUAAUCAAUAAACACUCCAGCAUAUGAUCCCGGUUCUUCC
Long non-coding RNA from Pleuronectes platessa (European plaice), 1316 nucleotides. RefSeq lists it as uncharacterized. The transcript is spliced from 3 exons. NCBI's taxonomy places the organism in Eukaryota, Metazoa, Chordata, Actinopteri, Pleuronectiformes, Pleuronectidae. The record is from RefSeq and is a predicted model, not a curated record.